RNAcentral lists this ribosomal RNA (467 nucleotides) under uncultured bacterium. RNAcentral describes it as "partial 16S ribosomal RNA". It matches the Rfam family "Bacterial small subunit ribosomal RNA", at positions 28 to 506 of the family's 1533-position model. The record is from RNAcentral.
GACGAACGCUGGCGGCGUGCUUAACACAUGCAAGUCGAACGGAAAGGCCCUGCUUUUGUGGGGUGCUCGAGUGGCGAACGGGUGAGUAACACGUGAGUAACCUGCCCUUGACUUUGGGAUAACUUCAGGAAACUGGGGCUAAUACCGGAUAGGAGCUCCUGCUGCAUGGUGGGGGUUGGAAAGUUUCGGCGGUUGGGGAUGGACUCGCGGCUUAUCAGCUUGUUGGUGGGGUAGUGGCUUACCAAGGCUUUGACGGGUAGCCGGCCUGAGAGGGUGACCGGCCACAGUGGGACUGAGAUGCGGCCCAGACUCCUUCGGGAGGCAGCGGUGGGGAGUAUUGCACAAUGGGCGGAGGCCUGAUGCAGCAUCGCCGCGUGCGGGAUGACGGCCUUCGGGUUGUAAACCGCUUUCGCCUGUGACGAAGCGUGAGUGACGGUAAUGGGUAAAGAAGCACCGGCUAACUACGU